RNAcentral lists this long non-coding RNA (1467 nucleotides) under Pogona vitticeps (central bearded dragon). RNAcentral describes it as "lncRNA (ENSPVIG00000010436.1)". The record is from RNAcentral. Lineage: Eukaryota; Metazoa; Chordata; Lepidosauria; Squamata; Agamidae.
UCAAGAUCACUCCAUAUUAUCCCUUUAAUGAUUACUAUAAUUUCUGGUAUAUACCUCAAUUGAUUUGUUAAUAUAAUUUAAUAUCAGGUAUGCCCAAACUUCCAUUAUUUGAAGAAAAUACCAUAAUUUUUUACUUAUCCUCGUACUUUUAUUUUCAUUACAAUAUGAAUGAAUGAAUUGUUUAUUUACGGUCAAAGAUCAGCAACAUAUUACAAUUAAAAUAUAAUUUCCAUAACCUUGAAAAACAGGUGAACAAUUCUAAAACAUUUACUUCCCUGUUAACAUCUUCUUUUAAGACAUCUAAUAACAUAGUAAACAAGCACAGAUUAAACAUAGGUGAUAAAGAAAAUGUCUCAAGAGUGCAACUCUAUGUGUGUCUAAGGGUGGGCUUACACAUAGGGAAAAAAUUGGUAUUUUCUUCCAACGAACCAGAGAGAUUAUUGUCUUUCAGUAAAAUUUUAAAGUGACAACAGCCUCCUCGCCUGAAAACGUCUGAGUGAGGAUAUCCAUGGAGACACACACAGACAAACACACAGGGGAGCAAGGGAACCAGCAGUCAGUGCUUGCAAGAGGAACAGCAAGAGAAACUGACCAGAGACAUUGACAAAGCCCAGCAGCUUCUAGGUAUUUUCUCUCUGCCACUGGCUACCAGAGUAUAAGAUUUAUACGAUCUGAAGAGAAACCAGAGUAUAGCCACUGGCUACCUUUUUAAAUAUUAUUCCAUCUGUAUUAUGACAUAGCGAUAUGCCAGUUUGAAAGAAAUAAUUUAAAAAAUAUAUUUAAAAAACAACAACACAGCAACCAUGGCAAGUGGCCAUCACAAGAGCAGGCAAAUGGGUACAAGACAAAGCCUUAACUGAAAUGAUUUUAAGAGCCUGUGUAGCCCUCUCAACCAAUAUACAAACAGCUUAAACAUGGAUUAAACGUUUUCCCAAGAAAAAACAAACUCAAACCCCCUCUGACUACCACAUGGCUUUAAUCUGAUUUCAAAACCCUUGAUCCACCUAUCAAUUCAUUUUCAUCCUGUGACCAUGCCCUAACCCAAAAUAAUGCCCACUGAAUUCAGUGAGGCUCACACACAAGUAAAUGUGCUGCAAAAUAAGCAAAAUAUAUCAGUAAAACGAAGAGUUUCAAGAUUGUGAUCCAUUUCAAGGAAACUGUUCCUUCUCAAAUUACUGGAGAAGUUUUACACAUUUUUGACUAAGCAACUGCUUCUGAGCAGCUUCAGUGCUCAUUUAUCUGUUUGAGAGUGAAAGCAAAAAUUUCCCUUAACAAUGCUGAUCCCUGUGGUGAAUGUAACAUCUAAACCAUCUUUCUGAGCUGCUUCCACAUGACGUGCCUGUCUCGUAGCUGAGAGCUGUAGCAAGCUUUACAUAAACAAGUCCUCAAUACAAGAGGAUUCAUGUAUGAAUAAUUGGUUUGGCUGUUACAGUAACAUGAGAACAAGUGGACCAAAGAAAAGUGGUG